GCGAGGGUUUCCGAGCGGCUAAAGGAGCGAGGUUCAGGGCCUCGUGGCUUAGUGCCUUCGCAGGUUCGAAUCCUGCCUCUCGCA
This 84-nucleotide transfer RNA is filed under the name Candidatus Aenigmatarchaeota archaeon. Its description in RNAcentral is "tRNA-Leu". It matches the Rfam family "tRNA". Rfam says of the family: Transfer RNA (tRNA) molecules are approximately 80 nucleotides in length. The record is from RNAcentral. Lineage: Archaea; Nanobdellati; Candidatus Aenigmatarchaeota.